CCUACGGGUGGCAGCAGUGAGGAAUAUUGGUCAAUGGCCGCAACGCUGAACCAGCCAAGUCGCGUGAAGGAAGACGGCCCUACGGGUUGUAAACUUCUUUUGUCCGGGAGUAAACUGCAUGUCGGGACCUUCUUUGCGAGUACCUCAUGAAUAAGCACCGGCUAAUUCCGUGCCAGCAGCCGCGGUAAUACGGAGGGUCCGGGCGUUAUCCGGAUUUAUUGGGUUUAAAGGGAGCGUAGAUGGGGUGUUAAGCUAGUUGUGAAAUGUUGCGGCUCAACCGUACAAUUGCAAUGGAUACUGGGAGCCUUGAGUACAGUUGAGGUAGGCGGAAUUCGUGGUGUAGCGGUGAAAUGCUUAGAUAUCACGAAGAACUCCGAUUGCGAAGGCAGCCUACUGAAGUGCCACUGACACUGAUGCUCGAAGGUGUGGGUAUCAAACAGGAUUAGAUACCCGAGUAGUC
This 460-nucleotide ribosomal RNA is filed under the name uncultured bacterium. Its description in RNAcentral is "partial 16S ribosomal RNA". It matches the Rfam family "Bacterial small subunit ribosomal RNA", at positions 338 to 795 of the family's 1533-position model. The record is from RNAcentral.